Molecule: long non-coding RNA, 1395 nt
Filed under: Equus asinus (donkey)
Lineage: Eukaryota; Metazoa; Chordata; Mammalia; Perissodactyla; Equidae
Description: lncRNA (ENSEASG00005034437.1)
Source: RNAcentral
GAGCCGGAAACCUGGGCAAGUUCGGGCAGCCCCGCGGUGAGUUACCACGUUGGACUCACGGCUGGAAAAACCUGCCGGGGGUGCUUGGGGCCCCGCUUCCCUGAGUCGGUGCCACUGUCCCUGAGGAGCGAGGACCAGGCAGCCAUGAGUGUCCACCUGCGGCCGCCCCGGUGGCUCCUUUCCAGCAUUUUCUGCCUGGAGGAGAGGAGGAGCUGGCGGGGAGGCCCGUGCUGGGACUGCAGGAGCACUGGCAGCCUCUUUGGCCCUCUCCUCCAGGCCUCCCUGCAGCUGGGGAAACUGAGGCCCAGGGUCAGUCUCCAAGGUCACUCAGCUCGGAGAUGCUGCUUCUCGAAUCGAGAUCUGCCCGACCCCGACCUCCAGCCACCGUCGGGGUCAGACGUGGGCACAACGGGAGCCGGGAGGCCGCCGUCCCCGCCUUCACAGGAUCCCUGCUGGUCACACGGGGAGCAGCCGAGAUGCGCUGCGGUGGAGGACGGACAGACGGACUGCGGUCCGUCCAGACCACGGAAUGUCACUCAGCGAGAAAGAGAAACGAGCCUAACGCCACGGGAAGACGCGGAGGAGCCUUCAACGCACGUGAGGAAGCGAAGGGAGCCGGUCGGAGGAGGCCCGCUUCUGGGUAUUUAUCCAGAGAGACAGAAUUCGGACAGACGCGUGCGCCCCGUGUCCACUGCAGCGCUACUCACGACAGCAAGACGUGCAAACAGCCCAAGUGCCCAUCGAGGGGGAUUCGAGCGGAUAAAGACGUGGUGGUUGUGCACAGCGGAAUACUACGCAGCCAGGAACAAGACCGAAACCCUCCCAUUUCCCGCAACAUGGACCAACCUGCAGGGCGUGAUGCUCAGUGAAAUGAGUCGGACAGAGAAAGACAAAUUCCGCCCCGUCUGCCUUACGUGUGGAAUCUAAGAACUUGAGCUCAUGGGGCCAGAGAGGAGAACGGUGUCACCAGGGCUGCGGACGGGGAGACGGGAGACGUGGUCGCAGGCACGACCUUCCGGUUAUAAGAAAACAGUUCUGCGGCCUGAUGCACAGGCUCGAGGCCUGUACCUGGUGCUUGAAACGUGCCGGGAGCAGAUCUUCCGUGUUCUCCCCCCGAGAAACAGGUCCCGCGUGGGGCUCGGGUGCGUGUGCACCGGCUUCGUCGUGGGGGCCACGUCACAACGUUUACACACGCUGAACCAUCACGUUCCACCUCACAUACAGACGGCGUUAUCUGUCAGUCACAGCUCGAUAAAGCUGGGGAAAAGUGUGGAAAAAUAAGAGUGUUUGCUCCCAGAGAGAAGGAUGGUGGGAACGAGUUGGAGCAGACACGUCUUUACACCCUCUGUGCGUGAAAAUGAAUUUGUGCCCAAAAUUAGUAAAGGCGUGUUUUUA